This 487-nucleotide long non-coding RNA is filed under the name Brachypodium distachyon (stiff brome). Its description in RNAcentral is "long non-coding RNA (BDIS_LNC005106)". The record is from RNAcentral. Lineage: Eukaryota; Viridiplantae; Streptophyta; Magnoliopsida; Poales; Poaceae.
CGCGCCGUGUAUCCAGAAGACAACUUCAUCGUGAUUCCUGCCAAAUCCACCGCGCACGCUGCCCGCGCCGUCUCUUGUUCUAUUUUUUUUAUUUUUUUACGGAACGCGCACGCUGCGACAGGAACUUACUAGAAUUGCACAGAAAAAGGUCCACAAAAAGUUGUUGGAUCACGAACGGGUGGAUAAGGCCGUAAACAGGCCGGCCCGUCCGUCCUCAACUGCAAUAUUUCCACUUCACGUGUCUGUGCACGUAGGCCAUGUAGGCUGCUCCAAUUCUACGUCGCUCGCCAGAACGGUGGGCUGUAGGGCGGCCUUAAGUGCCCGUUACCCAUAUUCAUAUGAUUUGGGGUAAUUUCCUAACAAAAUUGAUUUACGUAGGCUAUGGUGAAAAAAAUUAUAGACCCAUUAAAAUGGCAUGGAAAGGAUAAUACACUGUUAUUCAUAGGUUUAUGUUUACGAAAAACCUUUUUUGGGGUGACCAGGCAUG